ACUUAAUGUGUAGUGUUUGAUUGUGUGAUUUGUCAUGCCGUGACUUGCAUGUUUUCAGCUGCUCAUGCAUCAUUUGUGUUGCGCAUCGUGCGGUGAAUUUUGUGUGAUGAUUUGUGUUUCCGGUUUGCUUCGCCUCGAUAGAGCUCCGCACGCGUGCCGGAUUGUGAGGACCCGUUCGACUGCGUCGGUUCGUCUGCUUCACGAAGGCAUACUUCUUCCAAGCGGGAUCUCAG
RNAcentral lists this long non-coding RNA (233 nucleotides) under Hordeum vulgare. Its description in RNAcentral is "long non-coding RNA (HVUL_LNC010331)". The record is from RNAcentral. Lineage: Eukaryota; Viridiplantae; Streptophyta; Magnoliopsida; Poales; Poaceae.